GGAUAAUUAAACACAAAAGCCCGACUAAAACCCAUUUCUCCACUUGGCCGUAAGCGAGAACAGCAAAGUUGGCUGAAUGGAAUUGUGAGAAAAUUGGUUAUUAGAUAAAGCUUUGGUCUUUGCACAUUGAUAUUGCCCAUGACCUCCAAAGCUCCCCACCCUGAUUCAACUGAUGCAUUGAAGUCUAAAAUGUCUGUUCAAAAGGAUCCAGAUAAAUUCUUCGUGUCCAUCAGUGAAGGAGAGAAAAAGCCUUUUAAUUUUUUGCGCGCUCUAUAUGAUGGAUGCAUUGCUGGAGGUGUUGCUGGUGUCGUUGUAGAAACGGCUUUAUACCCCAUUGAUACCAUCAAAACUCGACUACAGGUUGCUCGUGAUGGAGGGAAAAUUGUUUUCAAGGGUUUGUACUCUGGAUUGUCUGGAAAUCUUGUUGGUGUCUUGCCAGCUUCAGCAAUUUUUAUUGGUGUGUAUGAACCUACAAAGCAGCAAUUGCUAAAGUCUUUGCCUGAGAAUCUCAGUGCUGUGGCUCAUUUUGCUGCAGGCGCUAUUGGUGGCAUUGCUUCUUCUAUUGUUCGUGUUCCAACUGAGGUUGUUAAGCAAAGGAUGCAAAUUGGGCAAUUUAGAUCAGCCCCGGACGCUGUUCGUCUUAUUGUUGCAAAUGAGGGUUUUAAAGGUCUUUUUGCGGGAUAUGGAUCUUUCUUAUUACGAGAUUUACCAUUUGAUGCUAUAGAAUUAUGCAUUUACGAGCAGCUGCGUAUUGGGUAUAAACUAGCGGCAAAAAGAGAUCCUAAUGAUCCGGAGAAUGCUAUGCUUGGGGCAGUGGCUGGUGCCAUAACUGGAGCAGUCACAACUCCUCUUGAUGUAGUAAAGACCAGGUUGAUGGUUCAGGUAGAGAGAAAUUUUUGUCUUAUUAUUUGAAGGAAAUUUUGGGAGGGGUCCAAAAGGGAACUCCUGAUUUCUUCUAAAGGGAUCACAAAACCAUUACAAAGGCAUUAGUGAUUGUGUGAGGACAAUAGUUAAAGAAGAAGGAACUCAUGCUCUUUUUAAGGGUAUUGGGCCUAGAGUUUUGUGGAUAGGAGUUGGAGGUUCAAUAUUUUUUUGUGUUCUCGAGAAGACUAAGCAAAUUCUUGCUCAGAGGAGGCACCCCAAAGCUGAGAUUCAGAAGUGAGUUUCUUCUAGGCAGGGUCAAGCUGAUGACGUUGCUAUGUACAUUUAAUUUAAGAGCAAUGAUCUUUGGACACCCACUUUUUUCAAACAUCUAAUUAAAAUAUUGAUUAUCUCUCUUUAUUUCUUUCUAUCAUAUCACAUCACCUGUCAUACUUAUAUCUUUUUUACUAGGCAUCAAAUAACAUUUGGGGUGUCCAGAAAUCAUUUUUAUUAAUUUAAUUUCAUGAUUUACAUUGA
This is an RNA transcript of Cajanus cajan (pigeon pea), 1398 nucleotides long. It is a transcript of the gene named putative S-adenosylmethionine carrier 2, chloroplastic, with no coding region annotated. NCBI's taxonomy places the organism in Eukaryota, Viridiplantae, Streptophyta, Magnoliopsida, Fabales, Fabaceae. The record is from RefSeq and is a predicted model, not a curated record.